AUUUUCGUUUGAAAAAAAAAAAAAAAACAACGGGUUCUCACAAAAUACUUCACGGACUUUACAACGACAAUGUGAUACCUACCAAAAUAUGUGCGCUACGGAAUUAAUGAAUCGGGCGCGGUGAACGUACGUUUCGCGAAUGAUAUGCCGUCAGAAUUCGCGCGCCGCCCGUAUUAUACAUCGUUCGAUAGAUGAUCGAUCGACCGAGUCGUAUUAAAAAAAAAAAAAAUAAAAACAAAUAAAAAAACAUCUUUCUAAAACCGAAAACUAAAAUAAUGUAGGUAUUAAUUCUGCUCGGCCGUCGUAAAUCCGAUUAAAAUUUGAUUAACGCUAACGCCGCGACGAACGUAAUAUUGUUAUUUUGAACACUACAUACGGUAGGUAAGUUAUAUACGACUCUUAUAUUUUCAUACAUUUGAUGUUCGGGAAAAAUCCGGAUUUGCCGAAACCCAGAUGUUUCCCGUGCAAAUCCGGAUUUCGGAUUUUAAAACUCGUAUACUUAUGUGUGUAUUAUUUUUAUACUUAGGUAUGAUAUUAU
This is a non-coding RNA of Cinara cedri, 538 nucleotides long. NCBI's taxonomy places the organism in Eukaryota, Metazoa, Arthropoda, Insecta, Hemiptera, Aphididae. The record is from the annotation of a GenBank genome assembly.